GGCCCGUUAGCUCAGUUGGUUAGAGCGUCGUGCUAAUAACGCGAAGGUCGCGGGUUCGAUCCCCUCACGGACCA
This 74-nucleotide transfer RNA is filed under the name Trichonephila clavata. It matches the Rfam family "tRNA". Rfam says of the family: Transfer RNA (tRNA) molecules are approximately 80 nucleotides in length. The record is from Rfam by way of RNAcentral. Lineage: Eukaryota; Metazoa; Arthropoda; Arachnida; Araneae; Nephilidae.